This 468-nucleotide ribosomal RNA is filed under the name uncultured bacterium. Its description in RNAcentral is "partial 16S ribosomal RNA". It matches the Rfam family "Bacterial small subunit ribosomal RNA", at positions 28 to 507 of the family's 1533-position model. The record is from RNAcentral.
GACGAACGCUGGCGGCGUGCUUAACACAUGCAAGUCGAACGGAAAGGCCCUGCUUUUGCGGGGUGCUUGAGUGGCGAACGGGUGAGUAACACGUGAGUAACCUGCACUUGACUUUGGGAUAACUUCAGGAAACUGGGGCUAAUACAGGAUAGGAGCUCCUGAUGCAUGGUGGGGGAUGGAAAGAUUCGGCGGUGGGGGCUGGACUCGAGGCUUAUCCGCUUGUUGGUGGGGUAGUGGCUUACCAAGGCUGUGACGGGUAGCCGGCCUGAGAGGGUGACCGGCCACAUUGGGACUGAGAUACGGCCCAGACGCCUACGGGAGGCAGCAGUGGGGAAUAUUGCAGAAUGGGCGGGAGCCUGAUGCAGCAACGCCGCGUGCGGGAUGACGUCCUUCGGGUUGUGAACCGCUUUCGCCUGUGACGAAGCGAGAGUGACGGUAAUGGGUAAGGAAGCACCGGCUAACUACGUG